Molecule: long non-coding RNA, 724 nt
Organism: Fukomys damarensis (Damara mole-rat)
Lineage: Eukaryota; Metazoa; Chordata; Mammalia; Rodentia; Bathyergidae
Exons: 3
Source: RefSeq, a predicted model, not a curated record
UGGCUGGGGCCGCGCUGAGCUUUGGGAUGUGGGCCUGCUAUUAGAUAAGGAAGAGAGCACACAGAAAGUGAAUCUGUACCUGGCCAAGAAUCUGGGAGUCUGGGUGCCAUCUUUUUCAGGAUGCUACUUGUUUCUUGUUUCGCCCAGGCGCAGGAGAUUUAGGAGGUCGGAAAGCCGGUUGCUGCUUCCGGCUUGGGGGGUUUUUGCCUUGGCUCCGGCCUUAUUUCUGUUUUCCCACAAGGAUGGCUUUGGUCUUUCAUGAAAUGGUCGGGGUUUGGACUUUAUUCAGAGAAUCAGUUGUGUAAGGCAUUGACUCUCCCGCGCAGUAAUCUGUGCAAAGCGCCUUGAGGUAGAGAUGGGUCAUGAGGGCUUGGAGAUGCUUGAAGUAUGGUCCUUACCCACGUAACAUACUGGAGGUCAAGGUGAAAUAUCUGGCUUUGAAAUCUUCAUGGAGGACUACAUCAUUUCAAUCCUGAAUCUGAAUCACUUCCCUUUUUGCCUUCUUAGUGUAUUAAAAGUGUAUUACUUAACUGGUACUGGUUUGGUAAAACCUCUGAGAUGCUACAAGAAUUUUAAAAAAUAACCAUUACACUCUUCUUAUGCUUCCUAAGGAAAUAUGUACAGCUCAUCAGGGAAUCCUCAUGCUGAAGAACUGUAGCAGAUGUCAUAUAACAAAUGGGUCCCAGUAUAUGGAAGAAUUUGUUUUCCUAACGUGUUUAAGUAU